GGGAGGCUCGCGGACCGGGACGGCUCUUCCUCGUGCUCUUUUCCUCCUCUUCCUCCACGCGGACCAUGGACGGGAAUCAGAGUGGGUUUCUUCUGUCUGCUGCUCUGCGAUCAUGAGCUCCUCCCACCUGCCCACAGUGGAUGGCACUGACAGGCUGUGUGUCUCUGAGCGUGCUCAGUUCGUCCCCUCCCGGGUCUUCACCUGCGUCAGCUA
Long non-coding RNA from Sphaeramia orbicularis (orbiculate cardinalfish), 213 nucleotides. RefSeq lists it as uncharacterized. The record is from RefSeq and is a predicted model, not a curated record. The transcript is spliced from 3 exons. NCBI's taxonomy places the organism in Eukaryota, Metazoa, Chordata, Actinopteri, Kurtiformes, Apogonidae.